UCCGUAGGUGGGCAGCUCAGUCAGUGGUGAAAGUUUGCAGCUCAACUGUAAAAUUGCCAUUGAUACUGGUUGUCUUGAAUUAAUGUGAAGUGGUUAGAAUAUGUAGUGUAGCGGUGAAAUGCAUAGAUAUUACAUGGAAUACCAAUUGCGAAGGCAGAUCACUAACAUUAUAUUGACGCUGAUGGACGAAAGCGUGGGGAGCGAACAGGAUUAGAUACCCUGGUAGUCC
Molecule: ribosomal RNA, 229 nt
Filed under: uncultured bacterium
Lineage: Bacteria
Description: partial 16S ribosomal RNA
Rfam family: Bacterial small subunit ribosomal RNA
Source: RNAcentral